GUCUUCCCCUCCUGCAGGAAAGGGAUAUGCCCCUUGAUUUCCUCCAGGUUUUUUGUUUUCAAAAGCAGUUUUAUUUGUAGCGUCUUCGUGGCCCCUACCUUCCAGACACCUUGUUGUCUAGCCCUUACCCUGUCUCUUUGUAACUCCCCUCCCAGCCAGGUCUAUCCUGUUCCCCACUUCUCCUGUUCGGGCUAUAACAAAGAAAGCGGUACAGCUGCUGCUCUUUCUUCUCAACAGGCAGGAAGGAUGACAAUCAAGGAUGGCUCCAGAAAUGACUACCAUGUUAUGUCUUCAACACCUUUGCUUCUCUACCUCCAGCAGCAGCAAAAAGAAAUAAAAGUUCUUCAACUCCAUUUCCAGCAGAGGAUAAUUCAGUUCCUGAAACCCUUUUAGAUGCUUUGAAGGUUGCUGGGCAACGCUGCUGCUCAAGAGGCGGUGAGUCCAUUGCCAUGGCACCAGAAAACGCUCGCUCUCCCCAGGCUGGCAGGCACCCGGCGCCUCCGCUAGGCCACCGCCGCGCCCGCGGCUCAGCCCGCGGGGAUUAAGCGCUGGUUAAAAAGGUAAGGCCGAAAAAAGCUCUGCCUACAGGACGGGGGUGGAAAUCUGUUCCAUGUGUAUUCGCCUGACUUUACUCUUUGCCUUUUCCUAUAAAGGGCAAACCAGCUCAAAGCGCAACAUCAGAAAAGCCAGGACCACGAGGAAAGUAAGGGGUUUCAUCCAUUCUUUGAAGCAAAGGUAAUACUUAGGAAAAUGUUAAUAAUAGGCUUACCCUUUCUCUGUUUCUAAGCAUUGAAUCUUAGUUAUCCUAUGACCAUCUUUCGGGUCAAAAUAAAGGAAAAUCAUUGGGUUAAAGAGGCA
Molecule: long non-coding RNA, 858 nt
Filed under: Struthio camelus australis
Lineage: Eukaryota; Metazoa; Chordata; Aves; Struthioniformes; Struthionidae
Description: lncRNA (ENSSCUG00000017008.1)
Source: RNAcentral